This 67-nucleotide transfer RNA is filed under the name Rhodococcus sp. (in: high G+C Gram-positive bacteria). Its description in RNAcentral is "tRNA-Met". It matches the Rfam family "tRNA", at positions 9 to 71 of the family's 71-position model. From Rfam's summary of the family: Transfer RNA (tRNA) molecules are approximately 80 nucleotides in length. Their secondary structure includes four short double-helical elements and three loops (D, anti-codon, and T loops). Lineage: Bacteria; Bacillati; Actinomycetota; Actinomycetes; Mycobacteriales; Nocardiaceae. The record is from RNAcentral.
UGGUCAGCGGCAUAGGACUAGCGGACUCAUAAUCCGUCGGUUGCAGGUUCAAAUCCUGCCGGGCCCA